GGUCGCCAAUUUUUAAGAAAAUGUCUUGGUUUAUUAUCUUUUGGCAGACAUGUUAUAAUCCCUUGUUUUUGAGUAACUGAUAAUUCCCCAAUAAUAUAUACAUAGUUUAAUGCAUAACCGAUCUUGGCACUUUCUUGUAAAAUACACCCAGAACAGCCGUAAUAAAACCUAAGAGACCACAUGUCUAUUUAGAGGGUUGAUAUGGAUUUUUUUAGUGAUAUCUGAUAUUUUAUAGAAAGAAGAUAUUAACCCCCAUAUUAUCAAUUUUUGUUUUUAUGUGUGUUAAGC
This 288-nucleotide long non-coding RNA is filed under the name Mytilus galloprovincialis (Mediterranean mussel). The record is from RNAcentral. Lineage: Eukaryota; Metazoa; Mollusca; Bivalvia; Mytilida; Mytilidae.